AAACGGGCGCGCCAGGGUUUGCUGGAACCGGGGUUGCUUAGGGGUUCUCGCCCCGUCUAGUCCGAGACUGCUGAGCACCUCGCCCCCGGGGGACCAAGCUCAGGCCUCCUGGCACUAGUGGUUAUAAAGAGGUACCCAUAUGCUCUCUGCCGCCCCUGCCAAAAAAAGGGCCACGGAGGGGAAGAGAAAAAGCACACACCAGGCGCCGCGGCAGGUGAACUUGUCAACAAGUCAACCCUGGACGCAAGUCCCUGCCCACCAGGGAGCUCGGGGUCCUGGGGCCGGAGCCGCCGGGAAGGCGAGGCGCGCGGUGGGUGGGUGGGGUGGGCUGGCAUGGGUGCCGGUGCUCCCAGCGCUGGGGCCGGAGCGCGGAACGCUUCCCUACCGCUCCCCCGGGGCUGACGCACGCUCUCACGGCGCGCGCAUCCUCCAGACCUUCCCAGGCCGGAGGGAGGAGGGGAGGGGAAGGGGCUGAUGCGGUUCCCGCACCGGGAUCCGGGACCCGAGGAGGCGACUCGCCUAUCACGCGCCGCCCGCGGAGGGCAGAGAAGGCAGCUCCUACCAGGCGUCCCCGACCGUCCCGGCUGCCGGGCGUCUCCUGCUGCUUCCUGCAGCCCGCCCGGCGCGCCCCCGCCCCGACCCCGGAGGGCAGGUACCUCGGAGCCCCGGCCCCCAGGAGCCUCCCGGCCGCGGUCGGAGCGUCCCUCCGGAUCACUCAUCCGACGUCAGCGUCAGCCGAAGGCGAGGGAAAGGGGCGGGGGGAGCGCAGGAACCGGCCCUUCCUGCGGCGGCCGCCACCAGCCGGAAUAGCAACCGGCGGAGCCCGUGCGCACCGCAGCGCAGCGCAGCGGCCGGGGGGUGCGGGCGCCCUCGCCGCCCGGCUACCUACCGCCGCCUGGGCGCCGCCGCUGCCUCCCUUCCCCGCUUCUACCCUCCAGCAGACGCCCGCCGGAGCGACCCCUCCCAGGGUGACCGGGGGAAGGUGUUCCACGUGGCCAUAGCGUUUGCGUCACAAUGACCUGGCGGACAGGUGGGAGCCACAGCGUACACCCCAGGGUUCCCUCUGUGCUGUGCGUAGUGCCUACUGCUUGCUUCCAGGUUAAAUUUCUGUAGCUUUAGAGGACAGGAGACUUCAUGACUUCACUGCCAAGAAAAGUUACAGAGGCCUGCUGUACCUGGAAAUCAAGUUUGAGCUUCGAGAAUAAAGGUCAUGUUUUAAAAACAGCUGUGUAUGUAUAGAACACCAGUAAGGUGCUAGUGAGAACCCGAAACAGUUUCUAAGGAGAAUGGCUAUUGAAUGAUGGGAUCAGAAAUUAGGAGAGAAAUAAGGACCCUGGGCCAGGGAAAGAAAUGAAUGAAGAUGCCACCUUAUGCCCAGAACACAUCUCUCAUUCAAUGAUAAAGGAUUUGUGGUUGGGUCAACUUUUGUGAUGCUCAACUCUUUCCUUCGUAAGGACGGGCUCUUUCUCAGGAGGCUUUUGUACUCCCAAUUAACGCACUGCUAAUCUGAUGAAGCUCUAUUUUGUAGCUAUGCCAUCUGGAUCACAUAGCCUCCAAGGCCAGCAGAGCAGAGGAAGACAAAGAGCAGAGCAAGAUAGAGGUGGAAGUUACACGUCCUUUGUGCUUACUUUCUACUGGCCUCAUCGGGUCGCAAGAUCCCACUCUGAUAGGUGCAUGGGGGCUUGGAAAAUUAGAAAAACAUGUGAAUAUUUGGUAGGCACUUACAAUCUCUGCCAGCAUCUGCCCUUCUAAUCAGCAAAUUUUCAAUUACUUUUUUCUUCACCCACAUAAGACAUCUUAAUCCAACCUCAGGGGACACAUCCUGAUGUCCAAUCUAGUCACUACUUCAAGCUUAAUGGGAUACAUGGGCCUCUCUGUCAUGUCUGCAUGAGGCUCUUCUUGAUCAGUUGACCUAUGAACUGAAAGAAAGCAUAUAUCGUUGUCCUCCACUGUCUAUAUCACUGCAUACAGAGUGGUGGAAAGGAACAGAAUAACGAUGGUAUACAUUCCUAUUUGAAAGGGGAUGAUUAGAGACACAAAACAAUGAUAACAUCUCACUGGUCAGACAUGGUGAAAGUUCCCCUGUGCAGGGGAUGGUAAAUGUUCCUUAAUUAGGCCUUGGUUCUGGUCCUCGAGAGGCAUUCUUUUAUCCAUUGUCCUCUAUGGCUGUAAUCUGUGCCCUCCAAGAUAUUCUUUCUUUUCCAUUACUCUCUGAAGUGGUUGAGGGGGAAUACGUCUUCCUUUGGGGCUGCACGGUUUUCUCAGCAAACUUCUUUCCCACAGAACAUUGGCAGCUUAAGGGUUAUAAGUCUCAAAAUGUCAGUGGCUUUUUUUAGUCCAGGCUCAUGAUUUAUUUAACAAUGCAUUUCCCUCAAACACACAGUAGGCUUCUGAUCUAUUUGCUUUAAAUAACUUUCAUGUGGUAGUAACCACACCUAAAGUUCUUUUCUAGGCAUAAUUCUAAAAUCUGCUUUGUUUCGUUGCUUUCUCACUUCUGUGCAUUUCUCUCUCUUCUAUAUGGGGGCUGUGUUGAAGAUGUCUGACUAAGAGGUAGAAAGUUCACACACUUAAUCUGUUUACACUCUUAAUUGAUUCUCAUCCUAAGUCAUUUCAUCCAAUGGGGACAUUUCACUGUGAUUUUGUGGCAGUCUUUUGAGAUGCCAAGUCUUCCUGUUUAGAGCCUAGAAGUAGUCACUGUUCCAACUUAGAAACUUCCAAAUUUCUGAACGAUUUUUAUUCCUUUCAUUUCUGUUUGCAAGCCAGCCAGGGUUUUCCUGAGCUUAUUUCAUUAUUGUAAUCCUCUGCCAAAUACAGCCAACAUUCACUUUCAACAUUGUUUCCCUAAGUCGUUGGACUCAGAAGCCCCACAGUCUGCCUCCCAAAUUACCACAGGAUUUUAAUUUUUGCCAAAUGGUUUCCUACUGCUUAAAAUGGAUUGCCAUUUUUUCCAGCCUCUAACAUUGGAUUCUUCACUGCCCUCUGCCUAAUUACUAAGUCAUUGCUACACGUUUCAGGUUUCUUUGUGUUGGCCUCUUAUCACUGAUAAAAAUUCUGAAUUUGUUAGGAUAGGCUAGACUAUGCUGUGAAAACAAAUAUCCCCAUUUCAAUUCACUUGCUGAACAAAAUGAAGUUAUCUUUUUUGUUCACACAAAAUCUCCAGGUUCCCGUCUGAUUUCACUUUGGGCUGUGGUUGUGAGUAUUGGAGAAGUAUAAAUUGUGGGGCAAAUGGAAAGGAAGUUCAAGGUGACAUUUUGCUUAGCAAACUCGAAGUGUAUGUUGGUAUUAUUGCUUAGGUAUGGUAUAUUUAUUUGUAUGUUUACAUAGUGUGACUGCCUAAUGGCAUUAAAAAAAUCUAUAGUGCAUGGUUCACUGUUUUCCCUUCGCUGAGAAGAGCAAUGAGUAAGAAUAGAAAUAGGAAUAUAUUUUAUCUGAUGAACCAGGGUGAAAAUUAGCAAAAAAUUUGUGACAGUGGAUAUAUAAAAUAAAAUUUCCCCUUAAGUUAUAUAAUCAUGUUUACACUUUUUGCAUAUGUAACUAAAUGAAUGUAUACUUUCUUCUAGUGGCUUACUGGUAGAAAAUAAACACAGAUGUUUUUGUUUUAUAUUUUACAGCAAUGCUUUCAGUAACCUGGAGAGGUACACAUGGCUGGUAUAACAAUUAUCUUCAUUUAAUGAUGUGGAAACACCUACCACAAGUCCUGGCACAUUGAGGGUCUUGAAUAAAUUCUGUCAGAUGAACGGACAAGCGCACAAAAGGUUGAAAGAGUGAAUGAGGCAGGCACAAUUGUGAUAUUCAACGAGAGUAGUGCGAAGUGCCACUUUACAGCCAAACAUUCAAUUCCUCCUAAUUCACAAGGGAGAGAGGGAUCAAGUUGUGCAGCUGGGAGGUGAUGUUUCUUCCCAGCAGCUGUCAUUGAGGAGACACGUGCAAACCAUAGAAGUCAUUUGUCACAAGAACCCCAUCCAGAAUUUGCUAUGUGCGUCUCACUUGCUAACGUGACAUGAAAUACUGAAGCUUUCAAAAAUCAAGUACAGAGACUUUGUUGUGUUGACAUGGGCAAAAUGAAAUGAAGAGCUGAGGCAAUUAUGUGGAUAAAUCAGGCCAAAAAUAUCCAACCAUUGAGAGGAAAAAGUUCCUUUGGCUCAAAUUAUUCAGAGUGACUGUCCAUGUUCAUCAAUUUAUCAGGAUAAUGAAUUUUAUCCUAUACUUUACUUUGUCACUAUAGAUAUAUCUUUAGUCUAUGAAUUUGAAUGACUUUGUGAUAUUUUACUUCACUGAAAAUUAUAAUAGGGGUUGAAUGAGCAAGCACCGUGUUAAAAGAUUGCUACUGCAGCUAUGAUAAUAGUCCAGGAGAUUUUAAACCCCGUUAUUCAAUAGCUAGCAGACAUAGUUAUUGGAAUGGGGGUAGAGAGGGAGACACGAAAUCUGUUGAGAAUCAAAUGCUUGUAACUAAUCUGUCUUUCCCAUUUAGCAUCCUAUUAUCCAAAAAUAUCUUGGUCUGUAGCUCCCACCUGGUUUCCUGGUCAUUUGACUACUGGUUAAAUGAGCCUGAAAAUUUCAUCAGGUUUCAUAUAAAGAAUAAUAUAUUAUAGUUACAUACAUAUAAAUGUAUAUCUUUGUGUAUUUUUAAUAUCCCUUAUUUAUCUACAAAGAGAUGAAUGUUUGAAAUAUGUGACGGAUAAGCAAGGUCAAUUCUUGUGUCUGCUCAUGCAUUGGCAUUGAGCUUUCUGCUUGGAGUCCUUAGCAUAUUCCGCACUUGAGCCAUCCUUCUUGUUUCUUCAUACUUCCAGAGCCACUAGAAUCACAGGCAAAAGGGCAGGAGCUUCUCCUUGGGGCAGAGGGAGAACCUCUGAGCAUUACCCUGGGUGGUUUGGUCCUGCCAGAGUCUCUUAAACAUUAGAGACAACUCACCAUUUGGAAGUUACAAAUCAUGAAAGUGCUCACUGAAGCAAAAUAAUACCACAUAAGAAAUAAAUGCCUAAUGUUGAUGAACAUUUUAAUCUUUAUUAUAAAAUUAUAACACAAAGAAGAAUCCUGAAGAAUGACCCUAAAGCUUUUGUCACAAUAGCAUUGUAAUGGAAAUACAGGUGUGUUUUCUUUUCUUUCUUUUUUCCUUUUUUGAGACAGGGUCUUGCUUUGUCACCCAGGGUGGUGUGCAGUGGAGCUAUCAUGGCUCACUGUAGCCUCGACCUCCUGGGCUCAAGCAAUCCUCCCACCUCAGCCUAUUGGGCAGCUGGGACUACAGGCAUGCAUAACCACAUCCAGCUAAUUUUUUGUAGAGAUGGGGUUUCUCCAUGUAUUGCCCAGGCUGGUCUCGAACUCCUUGGCUCAAGUGAUUCUCCCACCUUAGCCUCCCAAAGUGCUGGGAUUACAAGCAUGAGCCACCACACCUGGCCUAUGUGUGUUUUAUGAUUAAAAAAGAAAUACAUACAAUUAUUGGGACAGAACAAAAUAAAGAGAAAAAUACAAAUUACCUGUAAUUCAACUAUCCAGAGAUAAUUAUUUUUUACGGACUGAAUGAUGUUCUCCAAAAUUCAUAUGUUGAAGCCCUAGCCCCUAAUGUGAUUAAUAUGGUUUGGCUGUGUCCCCACCCAAAUCUCAUCUUGAAUUGUAACUCCCACAAUUCCCAUGUGUUGUGGGAAGAAACUAAUGGGAGGUAAUUGAAUCAUGGGGACGGGUCUUUCCCAUGCUGUUCUUAUGAUAGUGAAUAAGUCUCACGAGAUCUGAUGGCUUUAAAAAAUGGGAGUUUUCCUGUAUAAGCUCUCCCUCUCUUUGCCUGCUGCCAUCCAUGUAAGACAUGACUUUUUCCUCCUUGCCUUCCACCAUGAUUGUGAGGCCUCGCCAGCCAUGUGGAACUGUAAGUCCAUUAAAUGUCUUUCUUUUGUAAGUUGCCCAGUCUCAGGUAUGUCUUUAUCAGCAGUGUGAAAAUGAACUAAUACAGUAAAUUGGUACCAGUAGAGUGGGUUGCUGCUGUAAAUACCCGAAAAUGUGAAAACGACUUUGGAACUGGGUAACAGGCAGGGGUUGGAACAGUUUGGAGGGCUCAGAAGAAGACAGGAAAACGUGGGACAGUUUGGAACUUCCUAGAGACUUGUUGAAUGACUUUGCCCAAAAUGCUGAUAGUGAUAUAGACAAUGAAGUCCAGCCUGAGGUGGCUUCAGAUGGAGAUGAGGAACUUCUUGGGAACUGGAGCAAAGGUGACUCUUGUUAUGUUUAGCAGCAUUUUGCCCCUGGGCAUUUUGCCCCCAUCCUAGAGCUUUGUGGAACUUUGAACUCGAGAGAGAUAAUUUUGGGUAUCUGGCAGAAGAAAUUUCUAAGCAGCAAAGCAUUCCAGAGGUGACCUGGUUCACCACUUGGGUGCUGUUAAAGGCAUUCAGUUUCAAAAGGGAAAUGGAGAAUAAAAGUUCAGAAAACUUGCAGCCUGACAAUGUGAUAGAAAAGAAAAUCCCAUUUUCUGAGGAGAAAUUCAAGCUGGCUGCAGAAAUUUGCAUAAGUAAUGAGGAGCCAAAUGUUAAUCCCCAAGACAAUGGGGAAAAUGUCUCAAGGGCAUGUCAGAGGUCUUCACAGCAGCCCCUCUCAUCACAGGCCCAGAGGCCAAGGAGGAAAAAGUGGUUUUGUGGGCUGGGCCCAGGGUGCCUCGCUGUGUGCAGUCUAGGGACUUGGUGUCCUGCAUCCCAGCUGCUCCAGCCAUGACUAAAGGGGCCAAGGUACAGCUCAGAUUGUUGCUUCAGAGGGUACAAGCCCCCAGCCUUGGCAUCUUCCAUGUGGUGUUGAGCCUGUGUGUGCACAGAAGUCAAGAAUUGAAGUUUGGGAACCUCUGCCUAGAUUUCAGAGGAUGUAUGGAAAUGCCUGGAUGCCCAGGCAGAAGUUUGCUGCAGGGGCAGGGCUCUCAUGGAGAACCCCUAUGAGGGCAAUGCAAAAGGGAAAUGUGGGGUUGGAGUCCCCACACAGAUCUCUACUGAGACACCACCUAGUGGAGCUGUGAGAAGAGGGUCAUCACUAUCCUCCAGAACCCAGAAUGCUAGAUCCACCAACAGCUUACACUGUUUGCCUGAAAAAGCCACAGACACUCAAUGCCAGCCUGUUAAAGCAGCUGGGAGGGAGUCUGUACCCUUCAAAGCCUGGAUGUGAGACAUCGAGUUAAAGGAGAUCAUUUGGAGCUUUAAGAUUUGACUACCCCACAGGAUUUCAGACUUGCAUGGGGCUUGUAGCCCCUUUGUUUUAGCCAAUUUCUCUCAUUUGGAAUGGCUGUAUUUACCCAAUGCCUGAACCCCCACUGUAUCUAGGAAGUAACUAAUUUGCUUUUGAUUUUAUAGGCUCAUAGGCUGAAGGGACUUGCUUUGUCUGAGACUGUGGACUUUUGAGUUAAUGCUGAAAUGAGUUAUGACUUUGGAGGAAUAUUAGAAAGGCGUGAUUGGAUUUGAAAUGUGAGGACAUGAGAUUUGGAAGGGGCCAGGGGUGGAAUGAUAUGGUUUGGCUGUGUCCCCACCCAAAUCUCAUCUCUAAUUGUAACUUCCACAAUUCCCAUGUAUGAUGAGAGGAAACAGUGGGAGGUAAUUGAAUCACAGGGACGGGUCUUUCCCAUAUUGUUCUUGUGAUAGUGAAUAAGUCUCAUGAGCUCUGAAGGCUUUACAAAUGAGAGUUUCCCUUCACAAGCCCUCUCUCUCCCUCUCUUUGCCUGCUGCCAUCCAUGUAAGACAUGAUUUGUUCCUCCUUGUCUUCCACCAUGAUUGUGAGGCUCCCCAGCCAUGUGGAAGUGUAAGUCCAAUUAAACCUCUUUCUUUUGUAAAUUGCCCAGUCUUGGGUAUGUCUUUAUCAGCAGCAUGAAAACGGACUAAUACAGUGAUAGUAUUUGAAAAGGGGCCUUUGGGAGGUAAACAAGGUUAAACAAGGUCAUGAGGACCCUAAUCCAAUAGGAUUUGUGCCCUUAUGAAAACAGGGAGAGACAAACCAGAGCUCAUUGGCUAUCUCUUCCAUGUUGGGACACACAAAGAAGAUGGCCAUCUCCAAGACAGAAAUGUGAUCAUGCUGGCACCUUGACCCUGAACUUCUAGCCUUUGGAACUGUGAAAAUAAAUUUGUUUUUUACGCCACCCAGUCUAUGGUAUUUUGUUAUGGUAGUCCAAGCUGACUAACACACCACUGUUAAUAUUUUUACAUCCUUUUAUAUUUUAAUAUUAUUCUAUACUAAAAUAUAUAUCUAUCCAUCAACCCAUCCAUCCUUACGUACCUAUAAAGAUGGUGCUAUACGCAAUGGUUUACAUCAGCACUGUAUGAUAGACAUAUAUUGUGAAUCACAUACAUUAAUCACAUACAUUUAAAAUUUUUUUAGUGGCCUCUUUGGAAACAGAAAAAAUGAAAAUAUGAAAUUAAUUUUAGUAAUAUUUUAAAUUUAACCCAACAUAGCCAGAAAAUUGUCAUUUCAACAUGUAAUUAUUUAAAAAUUAUUCUUCAGGCCAGGCAUGGCGGCUCACUCCUGUAAUCACACUUUGGGAGGCCAAGGUGGGAGAACUGCUUGAGGCCAGGAGUUCAAGAUCAGCCUGGGCAACAUAGCAAGACCUUGUGUCUACUAAAAAUAAAAAAAAAUUAGCUGGGCAUGAUGGUGCAUGCCUGUAGUCUCAGCUACUCAGGAGGCUGAAGUGGGAGGAUAACUUGAGCCCAGGAAUUUGAGGCUGCAAUCCUGGUUGUGCCACUGUACUCCAGGCUGAGCAGCAGAGCAAGAUUCCGUCUCUGAAACAAAAAGUUAUUCUUGAGAUAAGUAACUUCUUUUCAAAAUUCUAAGUCUUUAAAAUAUCGUGUAUAUUUUACACAUACAGUACAUUUCAAUUUUGACUGACCACAUUUCAAGUGCUAUUACCACCAUAUUGGAAAGAGCAGUUUUAGAUCGAGGGCUUUCAGUCCUGGGCUGGAGUUGGGCUUCUCUACCUUAUUUGACAAAUGGCGUUAGACAAUUUAUUUAACUUUUUUUUUUUUUUUGAGAUGGAGUCUCACUCUGUCACCCAGGCUAGAGUGCAAUGGUGUGAUCUCAGCUCACUGCAACUUCUGCAUCCUGGGUUCAAGUGAUUCUCCUGCCUCAGCCUUCUGAGUAGCUGGGAUUACAGGUGCCCACAACUACACCCAGCUAAUUUUUGUAUUUUUAGUAGAGACAGGGUUUCACCAUGUUGGUCAGGCUGGUUGCAAACUCCUGAUCUCGUGAUCUGCCUGCCUUGGCCUCCCAAAGUGCUGGGAUUACAGGCAUGAGCCACUGUGCCCGGCGUAUUUACCUUUUUAAAUCCUGGGCUUCUUGUAUUUAAAAUGAAGGUAAUAGAAGCAUCUACUUCAAAGUGUUGUCAUGAUGCCUGAAUAAUCCAAUAUGUAAAGUAUGUAUACUUCAUGGUGGAGAGCACUCAAUAAAUGUUGGCUAAAAUUAUUUUUGUGGUUAUAAAAUGAAUAUUUAUUUUACAAUAAGUGCUAAUUUGAAUUUGAAAUCAUUUCCAACUUAAUAAUAUUUUUCCAUAAAGUCUAAAUUUAUAGACAUGCCAAAAAGUGAAAUGUGUUACCAUCAAAGGUUGUAUCUUCUCAUUGUAGUGUGUGUGUAUUUCCACUCCUGCUUUAGGAGAAGUAUGCUGGUGAGAACAUGCUAUCACAAAAAUCUUCCAGGACUGACAUGUGCCUUUAUUGAACUGAACCCCAAGGUCUGAUGGGCUGCAUUAUGUUGAGCAUUCAGGGAUCAUCUCACUUGUCAUUUUGCAAGAGAAGAGGAAGAAAGAAUAACCUGCUACUCUUCUAAACUCUACUUGGAAAAUUGCAGGAAUUUUAUCAGCCAUCCGUGAGCACAAGAAGAUAUAAGCAAAAGCCACACAGAGAGAAGACCUGUUCUAGACUCUUAUCAGCCAAACACAAUGCCCAAGAAACAGCUAGAAGGUUUCAUUUAACCAGAGAAGAGCUCCUGCUUUGAAAUGUUUUCAAAGUUUCCAUGACAAAAUAUUCUUUCACAGUCUCUGCUUCAGUGAGCUGCUUUGUAUUUCUAGCGCAGCUAAGCAAUUAAAAGAAGAUGAAUAGAUGUAUUCCGGCAUGUGUGAUAACAAAUGGCAUACUUAAGGUGACAAGGUUUUCUGUGUUAACUGGCUUUGCAGUCACUUGCAAGUUUUUGAAAAAUACUCCCUUUUAUCGGAAGUUUUUCCCUUCUUAAUCUCAGCUUAAAGGCUAUUUUUUCUCAAAGCAAAUUGGAGGAGGACUUUUGAAGUCAUCUUUGAUGGGACAAAAUAUAUGUACAUAUUCUCUCUGUGCAAAGGAAUUGCUGCUUUUCUUAUGACAGCUUAAAAUUGAUAAAGUUUUAAGCAUCAAGACAUUCACCAUUACAAAAGAUGCUCAUGUGUCUAUGAAUGAUGAGACUUCCACAGGAAACCAAGGUGGUCCAUUUAAAUUGCUACUCUAUGGCUCCUGUUGGCAGUAAUGUUCAUGUAAACUGGAGAGGCUCUCCAAAGAUCUUGAACUCAGGACAUUUUUGGAUCUAGACUAUUCUUAGGGACAGGAAAUAAUGGGAAUUUAGAUACCAUUUUGAUUGCAAGUUGAUGGAAAGUUGGCAU
Molecule: long non-coding RNA, 10567 nt
Filed under: Homo sapiens (human)
Lineage: Eukaryota; Metazoa; Chordata; Mammalia; Primates; Hominidae
Description: non-protein coding lnc-NXPH1-2:10
Source: RNAcentral